GUGCCAGCAGCGGCGGUAAUACGUAGGUGGCAAGCGUUAUCCGGAUUUAUUGGGCGUAAAGAGAGUGCAGGCGGUUUUCUAAGUCUGAUGUGAAAGCCUUCGGCUUAACCGGAGAAGUGCAUCGGAAACUGGAUAACUUGAGUGCAGAAGAGGGUAGUGGAACUCCAUGUGUAGCGGUGGAAUGCGUAGAUAUAUGGAGAACACCAGUGGCGAAGGCGGCUACCUGGUCUGCAACUGACGCUGAGACUCGAAAGCAUGGGUAGCGAACAGGAUUAGAUACCCUGGUAGUCCAUGCCGUAAACGAUGAGUGCUAGGUGUUGGAGGGUUUCCGCCCUUCAGUGCCGGAGCUAACGCAUUAAGCACUCCGCCUGGGGAGUACGACCGCAAGGUUGAAACUCAAAGGAAUUGACGGGGCCGCACAAGCGGUGGAGCAUGUGGUUUAAUUCGAAGCUACGCGUAAGAACCUUACCAGGUCUUGACAUCUUGCGCCAACCCUAGACGAUAGGGACGUUUCCUUCGGGAACGCUAACG
RNAcentral lists this ribosomal RNA (531 nucleotides) under uncultured Lactobacillus sp. RNAcentral describes it as "bacterial SSU rRNA". It matches the Rfam family "Bacterial small subunit ribosomal RNA", at positions 505 to 1034 of the family's 1533-position model. The record is from RNAcentral. Lineage: Bacteria; Bacillati; Bacillota; Bacilli; Lactobacillales; Lactobacillaceae.